CAGCUGCCGCGCCGCCCGCAGGCUCCGCUCUUUCUCGCCGCGGACCCGGCGCCAGCCCAGGUAGAGGGCUAGGCCGAAGAGCACGAAGCCCACGCUGAGCCCCAGGGCCCCAGCCAGAUACACCGGCACCAGCACGAGCAGCCUCCGCCCGAAGGAACUCAGCACGGCUAGCGCCUCGCCCGCUGCCCCGGGGUGCUGCUGCUUUGGAGGUGGAGGCUUCGUGGGGCUGGGGUCCUGCUUAUCCGGAGCCGCGGGAAGUUGGUCAGCGGGGCUCUCCACGGGGCCGGGACCCUUUCCAACUGGCCGCUCCAUGGUGCCAACGCCCGCACUGGAGGCCAGCUCCGCGCUGCCCCGCCUGGCCACCCGGAUCCCCUAAGCAAACCGAAAACUCCGGAGGCGGGGCGGCUACUUCAGACCACGCCCCCUUCGGGCACCGUCCAUUGGUUCAUGCCCCAAUACUGGGGCGGAGCCAUAGGUCGAGACCCCGCCCCACUGGCAGGGAGGCGUGGAAUACAGAGGGGCAGAGACUUCUCUGAUUGGGUCAUGCUACACUGGGGAGGGGGCGUUCCGGAGAUAUGGGGAGAAGAGCAUCUGAUUGGUCUGAAGGAGAGGAGGAGGCGUGGCGGAUCCUCUAAAGAGGGAAGGCCGGAGUAGGAGGUGUCCACACGUGGGAUGGGUGGGGCUGAUGGGUGACGCCGAACUGAGUUUCCCCUCUCCCCAAUUGCUCUGGUUUAGGCUGAGCAAACUUGACUAAAUUAAAGUUUUGUAGACGUCUAGAGGCGCCAUUCCCCCCAAAUAUGGAUGGGUUGGGAAUUCUGCCUUUCCCCUCUCCGCAAGCCAAGAAUGCCAAAACCCAUUGCUUCCAGAGAGUCUUUCAGAGGUCAAGACUGGAAUGAAAGGUUUUACCACCAUCUUCAUCUGCCAUCAGCCUCAGAACUAGAAAGAGAGCAUUGGGUUUGGAGCUCUUGGACCUCGGUUCAACUCCUGGCAUUGCCAUUUGCUACCUCCGUGACUUCUACUGUCAGCAGGAGCCUUUGAAAACCACCUACGGAGGCAGAGCUGGUUUGGAAGGUCUCCGUGGAGAGGGAGAUCUCUGCAAGGCUGCCAGGGAGCAUCAUGGGCAGGCAGCCCUUCUCCUCCUCCUCUGCGCUCUGGGCGGGAGCACAGUUGGGUGGCGGAGAGGAUGCACCACCCUCGCCGAGGAUGAAGCUGGCUCUUCGAGGGCUUUGCUCAGGCUGCACAGUCUGCUCAGGACCCAGGCGGGUUCCGGCUUCCUACCUCUUGGCCUCCAGCCCUCCGCGCCCCAAGGAGGGAGGUGGGAGGAGGAGGGAAGGGCAGGCUGCAUGUGGCUGGUGGCUCCAUUCCAAAAGGAAGCAGCUUUGUUGCAGGGAGAGGAGAAGCUCUCAAGGUAAGGGAUAAGGGGGGAGGCCAGGGAUAUACCAUUCCUGGAAGAGUUCUCAGCAAGGGGGCAGUCCUUGCCGGCCCUCUUAGAGCAGACUGGCUCGGCUCCCCGACCCAGCAGAGCCCCGGUGGGCAAAUGGGACCGAGAGCCUGGACUCCUCCAGGCCCCUCCCCCAGCUGGAGCCCCAAGUACCCAAGCCCAGAAGCUGCAAUGCAGUCAUCUGCUCUAUAAACACCUCAUCUUCCUGCCUCUCCUUGGCAUCCCUACUGCCCAGGCGCCAUCUGGCGGUGGUUGGAGGUAAUGGGAAGCCUGGGAAGGUGGCGGGGAGAAGGGAGGGAGCGGGUGGCUCUUUGCUGGCUGCACCACUCCUUCGGAGUGGAACUUCCGAGGAUCCCAGCUUUGCCGAGCAGUUUUUGCUUUGGAUCAUCAUUUGCAAAUGGCUCUCCACUACCGGCAUGCACUUGGACUCCAGUUUCCUGGUCUGUCAAAGGAAAGGGGCCCCGGGGUCUCUAAAGCCCUGUCCAGCUCUAGGGUUAAGCUGAUUGGCUUUUCAGCCACGAGGUUCUCGAACACCAUUCACUAAGCUCAGGGAAGCUGGGGCCACAGCCGGGGCCAAAGACACAGUGGCCAUGUUGGCAAGACGACAGAUCCAGGGCAUUCUGAGGAAUGGUCUGGCGGGCAGAUGGUGGUAGGAAAUGGAGCAGGAACCAGGUGUCCGUCGAUCCCAGGGAUCUCUGCUUUAACUCAAAUUACUUUGAUAGUCAGUCAACAAACGGUUCAUUAAGCACCUACCUAAUUAAAUGAAUCAAAAAUGAGAGUCUUUGCCGUCCAGUUUAGAUUUGUUAAAAUCCCUCUUUAGAUGGAGCACCCAGACUCCAGCUGGAAGCUAAAUACAGAUGUCGUCUGACCAGGACAGAGGACAGUUGGACAGUCACUUUCCACUAAUAGGACUCUCCCUAUCAUCUCCCCACACUCAUCUUGUCCAAGCUAACCAUCCCCAGGCUGUUGCGUGUUACUGGAGAAAGUUUUGUGUAACUUGUGUCCAUCCAUAAAUGAGUCGGGCCCAGAGUGAAGCGAGCCUGAGGACCAAACUUUCCCCUCCCAGGGAAAUCGGGGAUCUUGCACUUGACCAAGACAAGAAGAUAGAGCAGAGAAGACCUGGUCUUUGGGGACCAGAACUGGUUAACUGUUUCUGUUGCCUUUGGGGAUUCUGGAUUUCCUGCUUCUUGUGCAAAGAAUGGUGGAACUCCUGCCAGGCAGAGCUGCACCAGGUGAGGAAAUUGCUGAGUGAUGACUACUUGCUAAGGAUUAGAACCAGGAGAGGAGACGGCACCAUCAUGCUGGAUCCUCCCUUGAAUCUUCAGCCUCAGAAAGCUGAACUAAGACGGGACACGCGUGGGCCUUCUCAUGAUCAGUAAGUAGGAGUGCCUUGAGUUUCCCUCACCUCCCUAAAGAACUGAGAGGGCCAACUGGGAGGAAGCUUUGGGAGAUGAGGGUGUCAGCAUUUUGCUUUCAUUUUGGCCGAGGUCAUCCAGCCACAGUAGCUCGAGUACUUCCAUUCCGUGUCUGUUGGAGUGGGGGGUGUUGAUUGAGAGAAAAUUCCAGAUGUCCUCACAGGGCCCAAAUGUUGUCUUUUUGACCAGAAUCUGAGCGUCACCAGGGUUGGGUCUUAGGCUGCUUGGCUAAAGGAUAUGGUGUGGCCGUCUGGUGGCCAGUGAGGAUAAUACAGUCUCUAGGAAGAUCAUCCACGUGCAGGAGAGGACCUGAACUGGGUGCUGGGCGAGCUACUGGCUCAAGGAGAGUGUCAUUCCCUGGGCAACUAGGCUUGAGUUCUACUGGCUAAUUAACAUAAGGACCCAUUGCCUUUCUGGGACAUAUAAAGUAUCACGUGAACUCUAUAGACAAAAUGUCGCAUGCGAAAUAAAUUGAUUUCCUUUCAUACACAUUUAUAGUGCCCCCAUGGGCCAUCACUAUUGCUUGACAUUAAUUUUAUUCUGUUCUUAUUGUCCUUCCAUCUCAACUCCAACAGGGGUUCCUCCAAACUUCCCUUCCGGUCACACCCUCACAAUUAUAAGAGGUGGGCGCAGUCUAUUCCACUCUGAGAAGACUGAGAUUGUUGAAGCUCCUUCAACUUUCCUCUUUGAGUCUAAAAAUUCCUCCUUCUUUUCAUUCAUUCUUUUUUCCUGUAUCAAAAGAAGAAUUCUUGUUAAGAGUAAUCACUCCAGCCUUCAUUCUGUUUCUUCCUCCCUUCGCUGUGAAUGUUCUGGAAUUCAUUUCUUCUUUCUUGUAACAAUAACUCAUAUUUUAUUAUUUUUUAUUAUUAUUUUAUUAUUAUCCCAAUUUUGCAGAUGGAGAAAUUUUGUGGCUCAGGGAGGCUGUGACUCGCCCAAGAUCACACUAUUAGACCUUCAAUCUAAGGUCUCCCCUGAGAGAUAGUUUGGUGGUAAAGUAGAUAGAGUGCCAGGCCUGAAGUCAGGAAGAUGCAUUUUUCUUUUCUUUCUUUCUUUUUUUUUUAAAAAUAAAACCCUUCACCUUCCAUCUUGGAGUCAAUGUUGUGUAUUAGCUCCAAGGCAGAAGAGUGGUAAGGGCUAGGCAAUGGGGGUCAAGUGACUUGCCCAGGGUCACACAGCUGGGAAGUGGCUGAGGCCAGAUUGAAACCUAGGACCUCCCAUCUCUUGGCCUGGCUCUCCAUCCACUGAGCUACCCAGCUGCCCCCUAGAUGUAUUUUUCUGAGGUCAAAUCUGGCCUCACACUCCUACUGCCUAUGUGAUCCUAGGCAAGUUUUUCUUUCCUUUUUUUUUUUUAAACCCUCACCUUCUGUCUUGGAGUCAAUAGACCUCCCAUCUCUAGGCCUAGCUCUCAAUCCACUGAGCUCCCCAGCUCUCCCCACCACCCCCAGCAAGUUUCUUAACCCUGUUUGCCUUAUUUUUUUAAAACCCUUACCUUCCAUCUUGGAAUCAAUACUGUGUAUUGGUUCCAAGGCAGAAGAGUGGUAAGGGCUAGGCAAUGGGGGUCAAGUGACUUGCCCAGGGUCACACAGCUGGGAAGUGUCUGAGGUCAGAUUUGAACCUAGGACCUCCCAUCUCUAGGCCUGGCUCUCAAUUCACUGAGCCACUCUAUUGCCCCCUACCCUGUUUGCCUUUUAAAAAAAAUCUCUCCUGAUUCCAAGCCUAGGGUUUUAGCUUGCCUGCUGCCUUUUCAUGAAUUUUUCAUCUCUCCUCUCUUUUGUGUACAAAUGUCCUAAAAUCUUCCCUCAAACCUCCUAUUCCAUCCAUCUGCUGUAACCUCUCCUCUCCAUCCUGGUCAAUUUGCUUUCCAAGGAGUUAACACUUGAUCCUUUAUCACUGCCUCUUGUGAUUUGGCUUCCCUCUGCACCACUUCUCUGGAACGGCAAUAAUCAAUAGCGAGGCAUGAAGACACCCACUUAUGGGGAACCUGAGGCUGGUGGAUUGAUUGCUUGAGUUUGGGAAUUCUGAGGCACAGGAGGAGAAAGGUCAUCAGGUGUCCACACUAACUCUUAUGUGGGAAGACCCCCUGGAGGCGAGGCGUGAGGCACUGGGCUGCUUAAGGAGAGGAGAACCAAGCUAAAAUGUUUACACUGAAAAAACAAACCCAAAAAAGUCUUUACACUGAUCAGCAGUGGUCUAGCUGAGUGGCCACUGGCAAGACAGGAAGACGUGGUCUCAGGAAAAGUCAAGUGAACUUGAAUGGUCUUUCUUCCAUCUUCCUUGCCAUUGAGGAUCCCCUUCUCCUUCUGGACAUCCUUUCCUUUUAGCUUCCUCAUUUCACUACCUCUCUAGCCAGUCUGGUCUCUUCUUCCUUGUCCUGUCCUCGAGCCUUUUCCAAAGUCUGAUCUUUGGUUCUGUUCUUUCUCUCCAUCUCCUUCGGCAAUCUCAUUUCCCUAAAGCAUUAGCCAUCAAGGAAUGAAUUCGUAAAAAUGCAUUUUAAAGUUAUUGUUUUAUGUGUCAUAAUACAUAUGCAACUCCCCAAUCUCUGUCUCUAGCUUUGGUCUCUCGAGUUACAAACUUGCAUCUCCAACUAGCUAAUGGUGCCUUUCUACUGGGAUAUUCUAGCCAAACCAUUUUUGUUGCCACUUUCCUUAUAUGGGCUGUACUUUCUGAGUAGAGUCUGUGGAAGGUGUUCUCAGAAUCUGGAAUGCUGCUCUCCUCACCUCAAUUAAAAACCCAUCGGGGCAGGGGACAGAGAAAAGAUCCUGGAUUCAAACCCGGCCUCAGACACGUCCCAGCUGUGUGACCCUGGACAGGUCACUUGACCCCCAUUGCCUAGCCCUUACCACUCUUCUGCCUUGGAGCCAAUACACAGCAUUGACUCCAAGACGGAAGGUGAGGGGUUUAAAAAAAAAAGAAAAAAACUUGCCUGCUCUUCUAUCUUGGAACCAAUACUUAAUUUCAAUUCCAAGACAGAGGAUAAGGGUUUAGUAAAACAACAACAACAAAAUCCUCUCUGUUCUUUAGAGCUCAACUCAAAUGCCAGCUUCUUCCUGAUCACCUAAUUGGUAAAUUAUCUUCCCUCAUUCCUCUCUCCUAUAUAUUUAUCAUUAUAAUUAUUAGGGUGUCACACCCAGACUGUAACCUGAAAGAGAGGGGAGCCCAUGUUUUGUCCAAAUCUUAUAUUUCCCCAGGGGCCUCGAUGCACACAGUAGAAAUGCUCAGUAAAUGUUUAUUUAAAUUGAAUUGUCAAAUUCCUAUUCAUCUUUUGGCUCAAUCAAUCAAUUGAUAAACAUUUAUUAAGCGCCAACUCUGUGCCUAGCAUUGUGCCAAGGGUGGGGCAUACGGAGAACUACAGACAGAACAUAUACACAGAAGUGUCUAAGAAGAGGCAUUAGCAGCUGAGGAAAUGGGAAAGACCUCAAGUAGGAAGUGGAGUGAGUUUGAUUAGAACUUUGGAGGAAAACUAGGGAUUCUAAGGAUCAGAGAAAAGGGACACACUCUAGUCACAGGGAGCCAGCAGAGGGAAAGAGCCCAGCAUUUGAGCGUGUCAGAAGCCAUUGUUUUGAUUCUGUCUCACUUGAUGUCACUGACACAUCUGCCAAUUAAUAUUUUUACUAUCCAAGUCACCAGAAGAUUGAGAAGGAGCAGAGUCCUGAGGAAUGCCUUCUUCCUGGGCAGCAAUCAACACUUUGGAUAGGCCCAAAGAAACAUUUAGCAUAGAGAACCCUAUUUUUCCAGUUCAUCCACAAGGCUGUCAUCAGUGUCAAAUGCCUUGCUAAAAUCAUGCUCCUAUGGCUGCUCUACAAAUCCGGUUAUCCUAUCCAAAAAAGGAAAGCAAAUGAAAUAAGGCUAGUUUAAUGUGACUUGUUUUUAGCUCAAUACAACAAACAUUUAUUAAGCACCUACUGUGUGUGCAAGGCACUUGCUUGCUAGGUGCUCAGAAAGAGAAAUUACAAAGUCUCCACCCUCAAGGGGAGGGUGUUCUAGUAUAAUAACAAGGCUGAGUGAGACAUGUACACAAAUAAAUAUAUAAGAUACAAGGAAGAAAAUGAUUGAGUCCAUAGGAAAGGUAAGUGGGGCAUGGAAAAAUCUAAGGCGGGGUGGUUUCUUAAUCUGGGAGGUUCAUGAAUCUGUUUUGAAAACAUUGUGACAGCUGUAUUUCAACAUAAAUUGGUUUUCUCUUGACCCUAUGUGCCUUAUUUAAUGUUUUGUUAAAUCCCCUCUGAAAAACUGGUUCAUAGCCUUCAAACACACUGCGCCAAAGGUGUCCAUUCCAAAAAAAAAAGAAAAAAAGGUUUGGUCUAGGAAAUAAAGGUUGCUUCUAGCUAAGGGAAUUAGGGAAGAAGUUUAUCAGAGAUACGGGUCUGGAAGUCAUCGACAUAGACUCAAAAACUGGAAGACAUGGGAAGUGAAUCAAAUUUGCCAACUGAGACCAUGGAGAAAAAGGAGACAAAAACAGUCUUGGGAGACACAUACACACACUUCAGAGGGGGAAGGGGUAUGAAAAAGCAGUGAAGAAGGCACAAAGAUAAGUUAGAAAGGUAAGAGACACCAAAGUCAAAGGAGUCUGGAGCAAAGAGGAGGGGCUGAUCAAUGUCACAUUGCUUGAGAAGCAGCCACCAGACUAUGGAAUUAGCUCUCUGGUGAUUCAGUAUAGUUUCAGGACCAGGGUCCAGUUGAAAGGCAGAUUGAGGGGGAGUGGGUAUGGCGCAAGGAAGAAAGCAGGAACAUGAAGACUUUUUUCUCUUCUAGGUCAGCAUCGAACAGGAGUCAGAAAGGCAGUUCACAGCAUGGCAGAUGGUCAAAGGCGCGUUUUCACUAGGAUAAAGCAUACCUGAGUGUGUUAAGAGGAAGGAGAAUGAAGAUAAAAUAGUGAGAGGAUGGAUCAGUGGAACAAGGUCCAGAAGAGAGCGAAGGGAAUGUAGAAAUGGGCAUUCAGAGAGGGGUUAGCUUUGGCCACAGCGCACCUUAUCCCCAGGAGGAAUCGAGCAUUGGACACAUUGAGUCAUCCAACUAUUGAGGCUUCAACUUGUCCAGAGGAGCUGAUAGCAGCUAACGAAGCCCCACACUGGUAACCUUAGGGGAUGCCAAGGAUCUCCUUAGACCUCCACGGAAAGAGCAGGAGUGGGGAUCAGCUGCAAACAGUGGAGAUUCACCUUGUACGAAAUGGCCUUCCUACCCAAAUACCAUUCAAGGUUUUAAAGCUUGGAAUUUGGCUUCUGGGGUUCGGAGGGGGCAGGAGAGGCCUCAGUGAUCAUCAGAUGCAGCUGGAGAGGGAACGAAACCUUGCUUGGCUCUGUUACAGUACAACAGCCAUGGCUAUCUCUCCCCUUCCCCCACCAAGUUCUCUAGCACCUGCUAUUUCAAAAUCAGGGAGGGAAGGGCAGAAUCUGUCAGCUAGAUGGACACCCCAUCCCAGCUUCCCAGCAAUACCUUCCACUGCCCCUCCUCCACCAAUGACCCUAGGAGCCCUGUUAGCAAGACUGCCUGGGAAUAACAACACUGCAUUGAAGACACAGACAGGGUUAUUUUUAAACCUUACCAAGUGUCUGGGGGCAGCUGGGUAACUCAGUGGAUUGAGAGCCAGACCUAGAGAUGGGAGGUCCUAGGUUCAAAUCUGGCCUCAGACACUUCCCAGCUGUGUGACCCUGGGCAAGUCCCUUGACCCCCAUUGCCUAGCCCUUACCACUUCUUCUGCCUUGGAGCCAAUACACAGUAUUGGCUCCAAGACAGAAGGUGAGGGUUUAAAAAAAAACAACACCUUACCAAGUGUCACCAGCCCCCUAACCCCCAACUUGAAUCUUUAUAGACCCACAGGGCCUCCUGUCCUGGGAUCCAUGGCUCUUCCCAUAGUCUCCUAACAAAGCCAUGUCCAUAUUACCCAGGGGUGGGUUGUGUUCAGAUUUUAAAGCAGUCCUCCCAUCACACAUAACUUCCAAGUAAGUCUCCAUUGCCUCCUUUCGUUAAAAAUAAUUUUAUUUCUUUGGAAAAUGGCGGGGCCCUUGCUCUGUGGAUUCCUAACCCUACCUGGGUUAACAAUUCCCUAGCCCACUGCCCUGAAACAUUGGGGCCUCCUGGUAUUCCUCUCCUUAACCCUAGGCCCAGAGGAGUUUUCACAUUUGUGAAUGGGCAAGUCUCCAGAGUCUGAAAGCUCUGUAUUCUGACCCUCCUUGCCUCCAUUCCCCUCCCUUUACAGGGUUUGGGCUCAUUUUCAAAAAUCAGUGCAAGGGUCUAGGCUGGGGGUGGGGAGUGGGGAGGUGGAGGGGCAGUGUUUGGGAGAGCUCAAUAUCCCAUCAGCCAAGUCUUUCUGAGAACCCCAAAACCCUUCAGUCAUCCCUGGCAGCCUACAGUCCUCAAUCCCUUUGCAGGCCCCUCUAGUUGGCCUCCAGGGAAGCUGGAAAGAAUGCUUCUUAGGAGGAUGAGGCUUGGGAAAAUCUACCAUUCCCUCCGCUCCUCUAGGAGCCCAGCACCUAGCACUUGCCUUCUGUUCUCCUCAUUCCCUCAUGAGCUCCCUUCCAUGCACAUGAGAAGAGAUGGAUCCACCCUCUUCUCCUAUCCCCUUUGCCAGGGAGGCAAUAUCAGAGAAGUGUCCAGUGAACUGGUCAGUGUGGCAUGGCAGUGAUACGCAUGCUCUGUGAGGCAAUGGGGUAAGUCACCAUGGGUGUAGUGGCGUGGCUCAUUGUGAUUCCUGCUAGUGGCUGGGCCAUCGAAACAGCCACAGGGGCAACAGAUACAGCCACAGGGGCCAUGGAGACUGGAGGUGGGGCCAUGCCUUGAGCAAUUGUCUGGGCCAGAGCAGCGGAGAGAGGUGUGAUCUCUGGGUUCAGGUGGGGGGGUGGGGGAGGUGGGGGUGGUGCCGUGGGAGGAGCUGCAUUAGUUGGUGGGGCAGCCGGGGCACCCGUGGGGGCUACAAGCUCUUGUUGGGACACGGGUCUAGGCUGCAGGGCCUGGCUGCUGAGUGUGGUGUGUGUCUGAGCAAUGCCAUGGUUGUAGUUGGUGACGGUGCCCACGCUGGGCGCCAAUGUUUGUUCUGUGGCUGGUGCUGUGGAGCUCAGGGUCAUGACCUUGGCCUGGUUACGGAACUGGGCAUUUUGCUCCAACAGGACCUCAUUGGUGGCCAAUAAGUUGCUGACCUGCUUCUUUAGCUCUUCCACUCGCUUCCUGAGCAUAGCAUUCUCCUCCUCUAGCAAUCGGCACUCCAAACCCCGAGGUGGGGCCAGACUGUAUUCAAACGUCUCAAAAUGGGAACCAUCGGAGGGGCACCCGCCCCCUCCCCGUCGGCGUUUGGGGCAUGGCUCGUGGUCCUCAAAGCCCCGGUCUGGAAGAUCAUACGUGUCAUACAGAUCAUGGCGACGACUGGUGGGCACUGGCCCUGCAGGACCCCCUCCACCAGCACCCCCACCACCUCGAGCUUCAAACUCAAAAUCCCGCUGCAGGUGGCGGAACUUGCACUUGGCUCCUCGCUGGCAAUCCCCUUUGAGGAAGUCCCGGCAGAUGGGGACUUCCUCUUUCCCAUUGGGGAGGUCAGCUGGGGAAAGGCCCAGGCCGGCCGCCACUUUCUGCCUUAGCCGAGGGGGGAGUUCACCUGUCUUCUUGUAGCCAUCCUCAUCCUCCUUGGAGCCAUGGAUGAAUCGGCAGUUCAGACGACUACACUCCUUGUUCUGGAAGUCAUGGCAGAAGAUAAACUCAUUCUUACUCACACCUAGGUUGGAGACCUCGCUAAUGUCCGGGUGUCGGUAGCGGCAGCGCUUGCCCCGCUUACACACGUUCCUCAGAAAGUCCCGGCAGAUCGCAUCUGAGCUGCCCACAUUGGCUCCUGACCCAGCUCCGCUGAUCUCCUCACUGCCACCACCUCCAGAGCCUCCAUUGCUGUUCCCUGUGCCAUUGGUAUAGCUGUCUCGGUCAGGCAUUCUGGUCCCACUCCAAAUGAGUGGCUUCUUCCUUUGCCGCCACCCUUGAGUACAACUAGGGAAAAGGAGAACAGGCAUCAGGUAAAGGGAGCCCUGGAAGAGGACCCUGCCUCUCCCUAUUCCUGGCAGUGAAAGUGGCGAGGGGUAAUGAAUUCUGUGCCUACAGUCCUUACAGAAUGGAAAUGCUGCUGCUGGGAUAUGAAGGGUACUAGGAGAGGUCCUGCCCAACCCCUUAUGCAACUGAUCUUGCUGGGCUUAUUCUGGGCAAGGCAAGAGGAAUAAAGGCUGCGGGGAGGGGGGAACAUGGGGAGGAAUGGUGUAGGGUUAAGCCACCCACCUGCUGAUUAAUGAGGGUAAGCUGAAGAGAAGGGUAGUGUGGGAUUUUGCCUCCCCCUCUCACUGACCUUAUUAAAGUCAUGGGAAUGAAAUCAAAA
Monodelphis domestica (gray short-tailed opossum) is the source of this 11197-nucleotide non-coding RNA. The record is from RefSeq and is a predicted model, not a curated record. NCBI's taxonomy places the organism in Eukaryota, Metazoa, Chordata, Mammalia, Didelphimorphia, Didelphidae.